GCGGGCGUGGCGAAAUUGGUAGACGCGCCAGAUUUAGGUUCUGGUAGGGCAACCUGUGGGGGUUCGAGUCCCUUCGCCCGCACCA
This 85-nucleotide transfer RNA is filed under the name Rhodospirillaceae bacterium. Its description in RNAcentral is "tRNA-Leu". It matches the Rfam family "tRNA". From Rfam's summary of the family: Transfer RNA (tRNA) molecules are approximately 80 nucleotides in length. Their secondary structure includes four short double-helical elements and three loops (D, anti-codon, and T loops). RNAcentral also lists the same sequence under 2 other names. The record is from RNAcentral. Lineage: Bacteria; Pseudomonadati; Pseudomonadota; Alphaproteobacteria; Rhodospirillales; Rhodospirillaceae.